AAAGCGGCCUCACUUGGCGGCUGCCGGGACACGUGACGGCCGGGGUCGCUGCCGCGCGCCGGGCGGGAAAGGUGGGGCGGAGCGGCUCCGACCCGAGUCGGGGGCUGCCUGUGGACGCGGACGGGGUCUGGAGUUCUGUGACCAGAUUUUCUGAACUCCAACUCAUGACAGGUGAAAAAAGAAUUUUUCUGGCUGUUGCAGUUUAACCAUACUUAGAUUCUUCUGAUUCUCAAGUGUUACUCCAAAUAAGAUUGUUUGGAAAUAUCUCCUCAAAAUAUACAUGUUCUUCUGAAAGGGAUACCAGAAAACACCAUUUUCCAAGCUUGGUACAUAAUCAAAUGAAUGGUUAUAUUUGCCUUACUAUAAAUUCUUCAUAAAAUAUUGAGGACCUAUGCCAGCUCUAAGUUAGCUCCCUGAGACUGGAGUGAAGACUUUCUGCCCAUCUAUUUGCCUUGAUUAGUAUACUUAUUGGACCCAACCAUCACAUACAACAAAACAUAACUAAUAUGUGUUAGGUAAAAUUGUUCAACAUCAUCAUUUUCAUUUGGUUCAACCAAAUAUACUAGUUAAAGGACAACACAUCAAUCUUAUCCAGAACCUUAUGAGAUUUUUCCAGCCUAACACCUUCAUGUGAUAAAUGGGGAAAUGAAGGCCUAGAGACUUCAAAGGACUUCCUCAAGGUGUGACUGGGUAUCCGUAAUAUCACAGCUUCUGCCUCUCAUCUGAGAUAUAUGGUCUGGGCUAGCCACAGGACUGGCUUCGGUAACUGGUUUCUUAGUCUACAUGCCCACACAUCCAGUGACUGCAGCUCUCCUGGUGGGGUGAGGGACAUUUCCUACCAUCUUAAUGAGAUUUGUGGUAGCUCUCUUCUAAGUUUUCGCCUUAGCAGAGGCCAUCUGUUCAGCCUCCAGUCUCCCAUUCCUAGAAACCCUGGCCCCUAUAUCAUGGUCCCUCGUACCUGGAUCACAAAUGGCUCUCAGAGAACUUGGGUCCAUGACAUCUCUUGACAGGACACAGGCACAUUCAGACACUGAUUCUCAUAAACUCUGAAGCAUUGGUAGACUGUACUUAAUGCUAAGUAAGUUUUGAGUAUUGUAACUAUUUUGAAUUGAAAGCUAGGGAAAACAGUGGGAAAAUUUUGUGUCCCUAAAUUUUGAAAUUAAUUCAAAUUAUGAAAAUAAGUACUAAAAAUCUGAAGUGUCCUUAAAAAUCCAGAAAAUAUGUAAUUAGAGAGCAGUGUGAGGUAAAGGGAUUAAUAAGUAAAUUGGUAGUUAUAAAAUAGUCAUGGAGAGAAAGAAAAAGGAGAGAGGAGAACCAAGAUGGCGGCAUAGGUUAACGCCGGAGUUUGCUGCCUCGAACAACCACUUCAAAAGUGAAACUAA
Long non-coding RNA from Myotis myotis, 1382 nucleotides. RefSeq lists it as uncharacterized. NCBI's taxonomy places the organism in Eukaryota, Metazoa, Chordata, Mammalia, Chiroptera, Vespertilionidae. The record is from RefSeq and is a predicted model, not a curated record. The transcript is spliced from 7 exons.